Molecule: ribosomal RNA, 1971 nt
Filed under: human gut metagenome
Description: bacterial LSU rRNA
Rfam family: Bacterial large subunit ribosomal RNA
Source: RNAcentral
UUAAGUGAACAAGGGCAUACGGCGGAUGCCUUGGCGCCAAGAGCCGAUGAAGGACGCGGUAAGCUGCGAAAAGGCAUGGGUAGGAGCAAGCAUCCUGUGAUCCAUGCAUAUCCGAAUGGGGCAACCCACCAUCAGUCAUGUGAUGGUACGAAAGAGGCAGACCUGGGGAACUGAAACAUCUAAGUACCCAGAGGAAAAGUAAUCAAUUGAGAUUCCCUAAGUAGCGGCGAGCGAAAGGGGAAGAGCCCAAACCAGAUAACUUCGGUUGUCUGGGGUUGAGGACCGGCAAAAAGAGGAAACUUCUUAGUCGAAUGGUUUGGAAAGGCCAUGCAUAGAAGGUAAAACACCUGUAGGCGAAAAGAAGUCAAUCGGGCUGGUAUCCAGAGUACUGCGAGACACGUGAAACCUUGCAGGAAGCAGGGGGGACCACCCUCCAAGGCAAAAUACUACUUGGCGACCGAUAGCGCAUAGUACCGUGAGGGAAAGGUGAAAAGAACCCCGGGAGGGGAGUGAAAUAGAACCUGAAACCGUAUGUCUACAAGCAGUCGAAGCACCUUAAGAGUGCGACGGCGUGCCUAUUGAAGAAUGAACCGGCGAGUUACAUUAUGUUGCGAGGUUAAGUGGGAGACACGGAGCCGAAGCGAAAGCGAGUCUUAAUAGGGCGACUAGUAACAUGGUGUAGACCCGAAACCGCAGUGAUCUAUCCAUGGUCAGGUUGAAGCGCAGGUAAAAAUGCGUGGAGGACCGAACCCGUGAGUGUUGAAAAACUUUGGGAUGAACCGUGGAUAGGGGUGAAAUGCCAAUCGAACGCGGAGAUAGCUGGUACUCCCCGAAAUAGCUUUAGGGCUAGCCUCAGGGAAGAUUAUAGACGGUAGAGCACUGAUCUGGCAAGGGGGCGUAAAGCCUACCGACCCUAGUCAAACUUCGAAUGGCUAUAAUUAAGACCCUGGGAGUCAGACUGCGAGUGAUAAGACCCGUAGUCAAGAGGGAAACAGCCCAGACCGCCGACUAAGGUCCCCAAUGCUGUACUAAGUGGAAAAGGAUGUAAGACUUCAUAAACAACCAGGAUGUUGGCUUAGAAGCAGCCACCAUUAAAAGAGUGCGUAAUAGCUCACUGGUCGAGAGGCCUUGCGCCGAAGAUGUCCGGGGCUCAAGUACAGAACCGAAGUCGCGGCAGGAUUAUAUAAUUCUGGGUAGGGGAGCGUUGUAUAUCCGACUGAAGGUGUACCGGAAGGAGCGCUGGAGGAUAUACAAGAGAGAAUGCCGGUAUGAGUAGCGAAAAGAACAGUGAGAAUCUGUUCCACCGAAAGCCUAAGGUUUCCUGAGCAACGCUCGUCGACUCAGGGUAAGUCGGGACCUAAGCCGAGGCAAAAAGCAUAGGCGAUGGACAACAGGUUAAUAUUCCUGUACCGCUUCAAAUCGUUUGAGCAAUGGAGUGACACAGAAGGUAGCUUGAGCACGCGAAUGGAUGUGCGUGUCGAAGGUGGUAGAUUGCAGUAUAGGCAAAUCCGUACUGUAUAAGAUCGAGAACUGAUAGAUAGACGAUACUUCGGUAAAGUCAAAUUCAAGUGAGCCAUGCUGUCGAGAAAAGCUUCUAGUGAGAGAUGAGGCGCCCGUACCGAAACCGACACAGGUAGGCGGGGAGAGAAUCCUAAGGUGCGCGGGACAACCCUCGUUAAGGAACUCGGCAAAUUGUAUCCGUAACUUAGGGAUAAGGAUAGCCGGAGGAUGUGAAGGGAUUUACUUCUGGAGCGUCAGCCGGUGGCACAAGAGAGGCCCAAGCGACUGUUUAGCACAAACACAGGUGCCUGCAAAAGAGAAAUCUGACGUAUAGGUGCUGACACCUGCCCGGUGCUGGAAGGUUAAGAGGAGGGCUUAGAGGCAACUCGAAGGCUUGAAUUGAAGCCCCAGUAAACGGCGGCCGUAACUAUAACGGUCCUAAGGUAGCGAAAUUCCUUGUCGGGUAAGUUC